CAUCUCACUUACAUCCAGUCUCUCAGAGAUCACUGUCCUGUGUUGCCAAAUGUCCCAUGUCUUAAGAGCUGGAGAGGAAGGGGGAAGGGAGAGGUGGGUGAGGAGGGGGAGGGUGA
This 116-nucleotide microRNA precursor is filed under the name Choloepus hoffmanni (Hoffmann's two-fingered sloth). RNAcentral describes it as "miRNA (ENSCHOG00000014268.1)". Lineage: Eukaryota; Metazoa; Chordata; Mammalia; Pilosa; Megalonychidae. The record is from RNAcentral.